AACGAACGCUGGCGGCAGGCCUAACACAUGCAAGUCGAGCGAGGACUUCGGUCCUAGCGGCGGACGGGUGAGUAACGCGUGGGAACGUGCCCUUUGCUUCGGAAUAGCCCUGGGAAACUGGGAGUAAUACCGGAUGAGCCCUUCGGGGGAAAGAUUUAUCGGCGAAGGAUCGGCCCGCGUUGGAUUAGGUAGUUGGUGGGGUAAUGGCCUACCAAGCCGACGAUCCAUAGCUGGUUUGAGAGGAUGAUCCGCCACACUGGGACUGAGACACGGCCCAGACUCCUACGGGAGGCAGCAGUGGGUAAUCUUAGACAAUGGGGGAAACCCUGAUCUAGCCCUGCCGCGUGAGCGAUGAAGGCCUUAGGGUUGUAAAGCUCUUUCAGCUGGGAAGAUAAUGACGGUACCAGCAGAAGAAGCCCCGGCUAACUCCGUG
This 433-nucleotide ribosomal RNA is filed under the name uncultured bacterium. RNAcentral's name for it is "partial 16S ribosomal RNA". It matches the Rfam family "Bacterial small subunit ribosomal RNA", at positions 29 to 507 of the family's 1533-position model. The record is from RNAcentral.